Molecule: non-coding RNA, 87 nt
Filed under: Paraburkholderia sp. BL6665CI2N2
Lineage: Bacteria; Pseudomonadati; Pseudomonadota; Betaproteobacteria; Burkholderiales; Burkholderiaceae
Source: RNAcentral
UUCAAUGGGCGGCGAUGGUGGGGAGACUUCGGUCUGCCGGGUUCCGUAUGCCCCGGUCUGCUAACCCUGUCAUCGUCGCUCACCCGU